Molecule: unclassified non-coding RNA, 2582 nt
Filed under: Hevea brasiliensis (rubber tree)
Lineage: Eukaryota; Viridiplantae; Streptophyta; Magnoliopsida; Malpighiales; Euphorbiaceae
Source: RNAcentral
GUUUUGAAGGAGUUUCCACUUGCAUCCCUCUCCGACGCUACCUAGGAAAACUCGGUCGUUUUACCAUCUCUUUCCCACUACAAAGCCCUUCUCUUAGUUUCUAAAUAACCUAUCUUCCGAUCACCGGCGUUGGCGAAAGCUAACAUGUCUUCAGCGAAGGAUGCCGAUCCUUCCCUGGGUUACUUGACCCGCAAAGAUACCGAGGUGAAGCUUCCUCGGCCAACCCGGGUGAAAAACAAAACGCCGGCCCCGAUUCAGAUCACCGCCGAGCAGAUAUUGCGCGAGGCACGAGAACGUCAGGAAGCUGAAAUCCGUCCUCCCAAGCAGAAGAUCACAGACUCAACCGAGCUCGCUGAUUAUCGGCUUCGCAAAAGAAAAGAGUUUGAAGACCUAAUCAGACGAGUUCGAUGGAAUAUUAGUGUAUGGAUUAAGUACGCGCAGUGGGAGGAGUCACAAAAGGAUUUCAAUCGAGCACGUUCAGUUUGGGAACGGGCACUUGAGGUUGAUUACCGGAACCACACGCUAUGGCUCAAAUACGCGGAGGUGGAGAUGAAGAAUAAGUUCAUCAAUCAUGCCAGGAAUGUUUGGGACCGUGCCGUCACGCUCUUACCUCGUGUGGAUCAGCUAUGGUACAAGUACAUUCACAUGGAGGAGAUGCUUGGGAAUGUGGCUGGUGCUAGGCAGAUUUUUGAGAGAUGGAUGAGUUGGAUGCCUGACCAGCAAGGAUGGCUUUCUUAUAUCAAAUUUGAGCUGAGGUAUAAUGAAAUUGAACGUGCAAGAGGGAUUUUUGAACGUUUUGUACAGUGUCAUCCUAAGGUCAGUGCGUGGAUUCGAUAUGCCAAGUUUGAGAUGAAGAAUGGGGAAGUUGCGAGGGCUAGGAAUGUAUAUGAAAGGGCGGUUGAGAAAUUGGCUGAUGAUGAGGAGGCGGAGCAGUUGUUUGUGGCUUUUGCAGAGUUUGAGGAGAGGUGCAAGGAGACACAGCGUGCUCGGUGUAUCUACAAGUUUGCAUUGGACCAUAUACCCAAAGGGAGGGCUGAGGAUUUAUAUAGGAAAUUUGUGUCGUUUGAGAAGCAGUAUGGGGAUAAAGAAGGAAUUGAAGAUGCAAUUGUUGGGAAAAGGAGGUUUCAGUAUGAGGAUGAAGUGAGGAAGAAUCCACUGAAUUAUGAUUCUUGGUUUGAUUAUAUCAGGUUGGAGGAGAGCGUGGGGAGUAAGGAGAGGAUUAGGGAGGUUUAUGAGCGUGCAAUUGCAAAUGUGCCACCUGCUGAGGAGAAGAGAUAUUGGCAGAGAUACAUAUAUUUGUGGAUAAAUUAUGCUCUCUAUGAAGAACUUGAUGCUGAAGAUAUGGAGAGAACACGGGAUGUAUACAGGGAAUGCAUGAACCUAAUUCCUCACAAGAAGUUUUCAUUUGCAAAGAUAUGGCUUUUAGCUGCUCAAUUUGAAAUUCGACAGUUGAAUCUCACAGGUGCUCGACAAAUUUUAGGCAAUGCCAUUGGCAAAGCUCCCAAAGAUAAGAUUUUUAAGAAAUAUAUUGAGAUAGAGCUGCAACUUGGUAAUAUUGAUCGCUGCCGAAAGCUUUAUGAGAAAUACUUAGAGUGGUCACCUGAAAAUUGUUAUGCUUGGAGCAAAUACGCAGAACUGGAGAGAUCUCUGUCUGAAACUGAACGGGCACGAUCAAUUUUUGAGCUUGCAAUAGCACAGCCAGCCUUGGACAUGCCAGAGUUGUUGUGGAAGGCAUAUAUUGAUUUUGAAAUCUCUGAAGGUGAAUACGACAGAACACGGCAUCUUUACGAGAGACUAUUGGACCGAACAAAGCAUUUGAAGGUUUGGAUUAGUUAUGCAGAAUUUGAGGCAUCUGCCAUGGAAGAGGUUGUUGAGGGUGCAGAUUCGUUGGAGGAGCAGAAGAGAAAGUGUAUUCAAAAUGCAAGAAGGGUCUUUGAGAAAGCCAUUAACUACUUCAGAACAUCAGCACCUGAAUUGAAGGAGGAACGUGCUAUGCUUUUAGAAGAAUGGUUGAACAUGGAGAGCAGUUUUGGUUAUUUAGGUGAUGUUGGCUUAGUCCAGCCUAAGCUGCCUAAGAAGCUCAAAAAGAGGCGGCCUAUUACUUCAGAAGACGGUCUGGCUGGGAUGGAGGAAUUCACAGAUUACGUAUUCCCAGAAGAAACUCAGGCCCCAAAUCUGAAGAUCUUGGAAGCUGCAUACCGCUGGAAGAAGCAAAAGAUUUCUACCGAGGAUUAAUGUCACUAUACUUUUUGUAGCAUUUUUAAUCGCAACUGUGUAGAUACAGUAAAAGAGAGUUUUAUGUUCGUGUUAGAUUGACAAAAACAAUAGCUUGGCUGCACCUGCAUGUGAAUUCUUUUCAGAAAUGGGAUCCCACCAUAUUAGGGAGUGCCGUUGUUUGGAGGAGGAAGAAGGAAGUUGGAGCAACUUGUUUUUGAGCUCUGUUGAUUCUCCUAAUGUAUUAUCAAUGUUGCUUAUUGCAGUUUAACUUGUACCAUAAGUUCUGUAAUUUCACAUUGGAUUUUGCAUAUUUCCUUUACUGAAACAGAAUUAGGAGACACUGAUUUUUUAUUUUUAUUUAUUUU